CGAAACCUCGAACCGGCCAAGAGUGCGCACGCGCACGCAAGCGCCCUGGGCCUUGCCGGUCUUCUGGCUCCUCCUCCUCUGCGGAAGGGCGGGCACUGACCCCGAGGUGUUAGGCGAUUGGGUAUUUUGACCUAGAAUCAGAAGCGGUAACCAGUAGAAAAGGAAAAACUGUGGGAAUCUAGCCAAUAGUGAGGAAGGACCUGCGUUUUUGGUGACUUCCCGGGGAGACAGGAUCUUGACGUGUAGUUCAGGCCUUACGUAUCCCAGGCUGUCCUGGAACCUGCAAUCCUCCUGGCUCAGCCUCCCGCGUAGCUGGGGUUACAGGCGUUCGUCACCAGGCCUGUUGGUACCCAUCUACCUCUGUGUUGUGCUUAAGAAAUACCAGUGGUUGCUCUUCAUAGUAGAUGGGGCCUUGAACUCACUGUAGCCCAGGCUUGCUUCAAACUCACAGAGAUCCUCCUGCCUCAGUCUCUCAGUGUUGUGACUACAGGUGUGCAUCACCAAGCCUGGCUGAUCUUUACUUUUUUUUUUUCUUCCUUCUGGCCUUGGGGAUUGAACUCAGGACCUUGGUGUUUGCAAGGCAGGUGUGGUGCCAAUGAGCUACAUCUCCA
This 611-nucleotide long non-coding RNA is filed under the name Heterocephalus glaber (naked mole-rat). RNAcentral's name for it is "lncRNA (ENSHGLG00000048970.1)". Lineage: Eukaryota; Metazoa; Chordata; Mammalia; Rodentia; Bathyergidae. The record is from RNAcentral.